RNAcentral lists this ribosomal RNA (484 nucleotides) under uncultured bacterium. Its description in RNAcentral is "partial 16S ribosomal RNA". It matches the Rfam family "Bacterial small subunit ribosomal RNA", at positions 30 to 507 of the family's 1533-position model. The record is from RNAcentral.
AUUGAACGCUGGCGGCAGGCCUAACACAUGCAAGUCGAGCGGAUGAAGGGAGCUUGCUCCUGGAUUCAGCGGCGGACGGGUGAGUAAUGCCUAGGAAUCUGCCUGGUAGUGGGGGAUAACGUCCGGAAACGGGCGCUAAUACCGCAUACGUCCUGAGGGAGAAAGUGGGGGAUCUUCGGACCUCACGCUAUCAGAUGAGCCUAGGUCGGAUUAGCUAGUUGGUGGGGUAAAGGCCUACCAAGGCGACGAUCCGUAACUGGUCUGAGAGGAUGAUCAGUCACACUGGAACUGAGACACGGUCCAGACUCCUACGGGAGGCGGCAGUGGGGAAUAUUGGACAUUGGGCGAAAGCCUGAUCCAGCCAGGCCGCGUGUGUGAAGAAGGUCUUCGGAUGGUAAAGCACUUUAAGUUGGGAGAAAGGGCAGUAAGUUAAUACCUUGCUGUUUUGACGUUACCAACAGAAUAAGCACCGGCUAACUACGUG